GGGUAAGGUUUAAGGUUUUUGGCGUUAGGGUUAAAAUCACUGUCCAAAACCUUUGUAGGAACUCUUUUCCAACCUUUUGGAGUUAGUUAGACCAAAAAAAGAAUGAAAAAUGAAAAAAAUAUUUGGGGUGUUCAGGCUUCCUGAAGGCAAUACCCGAGUAUUAGAUUUCAAGGCUAGGGUAAGGUUUAAGGUUUUUGGCGUUAGGGUUAAAAUCACUGUCCAAAACCUUUGUAGGAACUCUUUUCCAACCUUUUGGAGUUAGUUAGACCAAAAAAAAUGAAAAAUGAAAAAAAAAUAUUUGGGGUGUUCAGGCUUCCUAAAAGUAAUACCCGGGUAUUAGGUUAUGGGGCUAUGGUAAGGUUUAAGGUUUUUGGCGUUAGGGUUAAAAUCACUGUCCAAAACCUUUGUAGGAACUCUUUUCCAACCUUUUGGAGUUGGUUAGACCAAAAAAAAAGAAAAAUGAAAAAAAAAUAUUUGGGGUGUUCAGGCUUCCUAAAAGUAAUACCCAGGGUAUUAGGUUAUGGGGCUAUGGUAAGGUUUAAGUUUUUUGGCGUUAGGGUUAAAAUCACUGUCCAAAACCUUUGUAGGAACUCUUUUCCAACCUUUUGGAGUUAGUUAGACCAAAAAAAAUGAAAAAUUAAAAAAAAAUAUUUGGGGUGUUCAGGCUUCCUGAAUGUAAUACCCGGGUAUUAGAUUUCAAGGCUAGGGUAAGGUUUAAGGUUUUUGGCGUUAGGGUUAAAAUCACUGUCCAAAACCUUUGUAGGAACUCUUUUCCAACCUUUUGGAGUUAGUUAGACCAAAAAAUAUGAAAAAAGAAAAAAAUAUUUUGGGUGUUCAGGCUUCCUGAAGGUAAUACCCGGGUAUUAGAUUUCAAGGCUAGGGUAAGGUUUAAGGUUUUUGGCGUUAGGGUUAAAAUCACUGUCCAAAACCUUUGUAGGAACUCUUUUCCAACCUUUUGGAGUUGGUUACACCAAAAAAAAAUGUAAAAUGAAAAAAAAAAUAUUUGGGGUGUUCGGGCUUCCUGAAUGUAAUACCCGGGUAUUAGAUUUUAAGGCUAGGGUAAGGUUUAAGUUUUUUGGCGUUAGGGUUAAAAUCACUGUCCAAAACCUUUGUAGGAACUCUUUUCCAACCUUUUGGAGUUAGUUAGACCAAAAAAAAAAGAAAAAUGAAAAAAAAAAUAUUUGGGGUGUUCAGGCUUCCUAAAAGUAAUACCUGGGUAUUAGGUUAUGGGGCUAUGGUAAGGUUUAAGGUUUUUGGCGUUAGGGUUAAAAUCACUGUCCAAAACCUUUGUAGGAACUCUUUUCCAACCUUUUGGAGUUAGUUAACCAAAAAAAAAUGAAAAAUGAAAAAAAAUAUAUUGGGGGUUUUCGGGCUUCCUGAAUGUAAUACCCGGGUAUUAGAUUUUAAGGCUAGGGUAAGGUUUAAGUUUUUUGGCAUUAGGGUUAAAAUCACUGUCCAAAACCUUUGUAGGAACUCUUUUCCAACCUUUUGGAGUUGGUUACACCAAAAAAAAUGUAAAAUGAAAAAAAAAUAUUUGGGGUGUUCGGGCUUCCUGAAAGUAAUACCCGGGUAUUAGAUUUUAAGGCUAGGGUAAGGUUUAAGUUUUUUGGCGUUAGGGUUAAAAUCACUGUCCAAAACCUUUGUAGGAACUCUUUUCCAACCUUUUGGAGUUGGUUAGACCAAAAAAGAAAAAUGAAAAAAAAAAUAUUUGGGGUGUUCAGGCUUCCUGAAGGUAAUACCCGGGUAUUAGGUUAUGGGGCUAGGGUAAGGUUUAAGGUUUUUGGCGUUAGGGUUAAAAUCACUGUCCAAAACCUUUGUAGGAACUCUUUUCCAACCUUUUGGAGUUAGUUAGACCAAAAAAAAAUGAAAAAUUAAAAAACAAUAUUUGGGGUUUUCGGGGUUCCUGAAUGUAAUACCCGGGUAUUAGAUUUCAAGGCUAGGGUAAGGUUUAAGGUUUUUGGCGUUAGGGUUAAAAUCACUGUCCAAAACCUUUGUAGGAACUCUUUUCCAACCUUUUGGAGUUAGUUAGACCAAAAAAUAUGAAAAAAGAAAAAAAUAUUUGGGGUGUUCAGGCUUCCUGAAGGUAAUACCCGGGUAUUAGAUUUUAAGGCUAGGGUAAGGUUUAAGGUUUUUGGCGUUAGGGUUAAAAUCACUGUCCAAAACCUUUGUAGGAACUCUUUUCCAACCUUUUGGAGUUAGUUAGACCAAAAAAAAUGAAAAAUGAAAAAAAAAUAUUUGGGGUGUUCAGGCUUCCUAAAAGUAAUACCCGGGUAUUAGGUUAUGGGGCUAUGGUAAGGUUUAAGGUUUUUGGCGUUAGGGUUAAAAUCACUGUCCAAAACCUUUGUAGGAACUCUUUUCCAACCUUUUGGAGUUAGUUAGACCAAAAAAAAAUGAAAAAUUAAAAAACAAUAUUUGGGGUUUUCGGGGUUCCUGAAUGUAAUACCCGGGUAUUAGAUUUCAAGGCUAGGGUAAGGUUUAAGGUUUUUGGCGUUAGGGUUAAAAUCACUGUCCAAAACCUUUGUAGGAACUCUUUUCCAACCUUUUGGAGUUAGUUAGACCAAAAAAUAUGAAAAAAGAAAAAAAUAUUUGGGGUGUUCAGGCUUCCUGAAGGUAAUACCCGGGUAUUAGAUUUCAAGGCUAGGGUAAGGUUUAAGGUUUUUGGCGUUAGGGUUAAAAUCACUGUCCAAAACCUUUGUAGGAACUCUUUUCCAACCUUUUGGAGUUAGUUAGACCAAAAAAAAAAGAAAAAUGAAAAAAAAAUAUUUGGGGUGUUCAGGCUUCCUAAAAGUAAUACCCGGGUAUUAGGUUAUGGGGCUAGGGUAAGGUUUAAGGUUUUUGGCGUUAGGGUUAAAAUCACUGUCCAAAACCUUUGUAGGAACUCUUUUCCAACCUUUUGGAGUUAGUUAGACCAAAAAAAAAAGAAAAAUGAAAAAAUAUAUAUUUGGGGUUUUCGGGCUUCCUGAAUGUAAUACCCGGGUAUUAGAUUUUAAGGCUAGGGUAAGGUUUAAGUUUUUUGGCGUUAGGGUUAAAAUCACUGUCCAAAACCUUUGUAGGAACUCUUUUCCAACCUUUUGGAGUUAGUUAGACCAAAAAAAAUGAAAAAAAAAAAAAUAUAUAUUUGGGGUUUUCGGGCUUCCUGAAUGUAAUACCCGGGUAUUAGAUUUUAAGGCUAGGGUAAGGUUUAAGUUUUUUGGCGUUAGGGUUAAAAUCACUGUCCAAAACCUUUGUAGGAACUCUUUUCCAACCUUUUGGAGUUAGUUAGACCAAAAAAAAAAAGAAAAAUGAAAAAAAAAUAUUUGGGGUGUUCAGGCUUCCUAAAAGUAAUACCCGGGUAUUAGGUUAUGGGGCUAUGGUAAGGUUUAAGGUUUUUGGCGUUAGGGUUAAAAUCACUGUCCAAAACCUUUGUAGGAACUCUUUUCCAACCUUUUGGAGUUAGUUAGACCAAAAAAUAUGAAAAAAGAAAAAAAUAUUUGGGGUGUUCAGGCUUCCUGAAGGUAAUACCCGGGUAUUAGAUUUCAAGGCUAGGGUAAGGUUUAAGGUUUUUGGCGUUAGGGUUAAAAUCACUGUCCAAAACCUUUGUAGGAACUCUUUUCCAACCUUUUGGAGUUAGUUAGACCAAAAAAAAUGAAAAAUGAAAAAAAAAUAUUUGGGGUGUUCAGGCUUCCUAAAAGUAAUACCCGGGUAUUAGGUUAUGGGGCUAUGGUAAGGUUUAAGGUUUUUGGCGUUAGGGUUAAAAUCACUGUCCAAAACCUUUGUAGGAACUCUUUUCCAACCUUUUGGAGUUAGUUAGACCAAAAAAAAAUGAAAAAUUAAAAAACAAUAUUUGGGGUUUUCGGGGUUCCUGAAUGUAAUACCCGGGUAUUAGAUUU
Molecule: non-coding RNA, 3869 nt
Organism: Xyrichtys novacula (pearly razorfish)
Lineage: Eukaryota; Metazoa; Chordata; Actinopteri; Labriformes; Labridae
Source: the annotation of a GenBank genome assembly